RNAcentral lists this ribosomal RNA (497 nucleotides) under uncultured bacterium. RNAcentral's name for it is "partial 16S ribosomal RNA". It matches the Rfam family "Bacterial small subunit ribosomal RNA", at positions 28 to 507 of the family's 1533-position model. The record is from RNAcentral.
GAUGAACGCUGGCGGCGUGCCUAAUACAUGCAAGUCGAGCGAACAGACGAGGAGCUUGCUCCUCUGACGUUAGCGGCGGACGGGUGAGUAACACGUGGAUAACCUACCUAUAAGACUGGGAUAACUUCGGGAAACCGGAGCUACUACCGGAUAAUAUAUUGAACCGCAUGGUUCAAUAGUGAAAGACGGUUUUGCUGUCACUUAUAGAUGGAUCCGCGCCGCAUUAGCUAGUUGGUAAGGUAACGGCUUACCAAGGCAACGAUGCGUAGCCGACCUGAGAGGGUGAUCGGCCACACUGGAACUGAGACACGGUCCAGACUCCUACGGGAGGCAGCAGUAGGGAAUCUUCCGCAAAGGGCGAAAGCCUGACGGAGCAACGCCGCGUGAGUGAUGAAGGUCUUCGGAUCGUAAAACUCUGUUAUUAGGGAAGAACAAAUGUGUAAGUAACUAUGCACGUCUUGACGGUACCUAAUCAGAAAGCCACGGCUAACUACGUG